Molecule: ribosomal RNA, 396 nt
Filed under: Extatosoma tiaratum (giant prickly stick insect)
Lineage: Eukaryota; Metazoa; Arthropoda; Insecta; Phasmatodea; Phasmatidae
Description: partial 12S ribosomal RNA
Source: RNAcentral
UAAACUAGGAUUAGAUACCCUAUUAUUUUAUAAGUUAACUGAUUAUACCAGGGUAGUAGUAGUUAUGUUCUUUAAACCUAAAGAAUUUGGCGGUGUUUUAGUCUAUUCAGAGGAAUUUGUCCCUUAAUCGAUAGUCCCCGAUUAAUUCUUUCUUAGGUUAGUUUUAGAUCAGUAUGUAUAUCGCCGUUAUAGGUUUAUUUUAUUAGAAUUAAUUUGCUUUAUUUUUUAUUGAAAGUUAUUUCAGGUCAAGGUGCAGCUAAUACUUAAGUGGAGAUGAAUUACAAUAUUAUUUUAAUAUAAUGGAUUUAUUUUUGAAAUAUUUUAAUGAAAGUGGAUUUGUUAGUAAUUUUGUUUAUGUUAAUUUUUUGAUUAUGGCUCUAAAAUAAGUACACAUCG